This 1044-nucleotide ribosomal RNA is filed under the name Triticum aestivum (bread wheat). RNAcentral's name for it is "partial small subunit ribosomal RNA". The record is from RNAcentral. Lineage: Eukaryota; Viridiplantae; Streptophyta; Magnoliopsida; Poales; Poaceae.
AUGAAGAUUAAUGUAGAUGCAUCCUUUGAUGAUGUUUCCUGUCAAGGUUCGACUGGGCUGGUUAUUCGGGAUAGGGAGGGUGCAUUACUUCGUGCACAAGCCCUUUGGUAUAAUUUUGCAGCUAGCUCACAGUCCAUGGAAGCAGAAGCAAUUCGAGAUGGGGUUCGAAUGGCUAUUGAGAGAGGUUUCAGCAAAGUUGAGGUGGAAACUGAUGCUCAAGCUAUUGUUAAGUUGUGGGAGUCAGAUACCUUCGAUCGUUCGGAGAUAGCUGCCAUUCUUCAAGAGAUCAGGGAGCUUUCUGAUCAAUUUGACAGUUUUAGGCUGAAAUUCACAACGAGGUUCUUCAACAGCAAUGCCUUCAUGAAGGGAGCGGCGCUCAAGCGUCGUCGUCACCGGAUCCAACCACAAAAGAUUGCAUCUCAUUGCCGAAAGCAGCCAUUAGAUCUGAAGACUUCGAUGGUCACCAGAAUCCGCAGUGAGACAGUCGUCUCAUGUUGUAGCCCGCCUGACUGCACCUCCGAAGGCCCUGGGCCCAACCAUCCGCCGCCGUCGUUGGAAGGGGACUGCAGCCACCUGUCGGAGCUGCUAAUCCUUGCCGAGCAGGGCCACCUAGUUGGUUGUAGAUACUGCCACAUCCCGAGCUUGGCAAGGCCGUCCGCCGGGGUAGGAUCCCAUGGCCUUUCUGGCCAUGGAUCCGGUCCUAGGAGGCCACCACUCCAUCGUUGGAAAGAGGUGCCACAGCCAGGACGCAGCCGGCAAGCCCGGAGCAUGAGGUCAGUUCACGGGGAACACACGACGCCGAAGCCGCAUAUUCUCGCCUCACACAACCACGAUCCAUGCCAGGAGGUGCGCGAGUGCGCCCAGGAGGAGCAGAAGCGCCCCGCCGCCACCAUCCUUAGGUCCGGCAUGUCUUCGCCGGCGAACCCUCCGGCGGCGGCGCGGCAGGGAGACAAAGUGCGGGCGGCUAGGGUUUCCCCCCGUGUCGCCAAGCAUGGGCGACGCGGGGGACCGGUAAUUUCCUCCUCUAACCCUGAAGCGGUCUGA